Molecule: ribosomal RNA, 498 nt
Filed under: uncultured bacterium
Lineage: Bacteria
Description: bacterial SSU rRNA
Rfam family: Bacterial small subunit ribosomal RNA
Source: RNAcentral
GGAAUGAACGCUAGCGACAGGCCUAACGCAUGCAAGUCGAGGGCAGCACAAGGAGCAAUCUGAGGUGGCGACCGGCGCACGGGUGAGUAACACGUAUGCAACCUGCCUGUAAGCGGGGAAUAACCCGUUGAAAGACGGACUAAUACCGCAUAAUACUAAAUUACUGCAUGGUAAUUUAUUUAAACAUUUAUGGCUUACAGAUGGGCAUGCGCAUGAUUAGCUAGUUGGAGAGGUAACAGCUCCCCAAGGCAACGAUCAUUAGGGGUUCUGAGAGGAAGGUCCCCCACACUGGUACUGAGACACGGACCAGACUCCUACGGGAGGCAGCAGUGAGGAAUAUUGGUCAAUGGACGAGAGUCUGAACCAGCCAAGUCGCGUGCAGGAAGAAUGUUCCCUAUGGAUUGUAAACUGCUUUUGCAGGGGAAUAAAGUGCAUCACGUGUGAUGUUUUGUAUGUACUCUGCGAAUAAGGAUCGGCUAACUCCGUGCCAGCAGCGGC